This 324-nucleotide ribosomal RNA is filed under the name Capnocytophaga sp. RNAcentral describes it as "bacterial SSU rRNA". It matches the Rfam family "Bacterial small subunit ribosomal RNA", at positions 106 to 429 of the family's 1533-position model. The record is from RNAcentral. Lineage: Bacteria; Pseudomonadati; Bacteroidota; Flavobacteriia; Flavobacteriales; Flavobacteriaceae.
GUGCGUAACGCGUAUGCAACCUACCUUUCACAGGGGGAUAGCCCGAAGAAAUUUGGAUUAAUACCCCAUAAUAUUAUUGGAUGGCAUCAUUUGAUAAUUAAAACUGCGGUGGUGAAAGAUGGGCAUGCGUCCUAUUAGCUAGUUGGAGUGGUAACGGCACCCCAAGGCUACGAUAGGUAGGGGUCCUGAGAGGGAGAUCCCCCACACUGGUACUGAGACAGGGACCAGACUCCUACGGGAGGCAGCAGUGAGGAAUAUUGGUCAAUGGUCGGAAGACUGAACCAGCCAUGCCGCGUGCAGGAAGAAUGCCUUAUGGGUUGUAAA